AAUGCACGUCAUCAGACACCACAAAAAGGGUGUUAGUUCAUUCUAGACAGCCCGACGGUGCCAUGGAAGUCGGAAUCCCGCUAAGGAGUGUGUAACAACUCACGGGCGAAUGAACUAGCCCUGAAAAAUGGAUGGCGCUCAAGCGUGCUACCCAUACCUGCCGUCGGGGUAGAAACGAUGCCCCGACGAGUAGGCAGGCGUGGAGGUCCGUGACGAAGCCUUGGGAGUGAUCCCGGGUCGAACGGCCUCUAGUGCAGAUCUUGGUGGUAGUAGCAAAUACUCAAAUGAGAACUUUGAGGACUGAAGUGGGGAAAGGUUCCAUGUGAACAGCAGUUGGACAUGGGUUAGUCGAUCCUAAGGUAUAGGGAAGUUCCGUUUGAAAGGCGCCCUCGUGCGCCGUGUACCGAAAGGGAAGCCGGUUAAUAUUCCGGCACCUGGAUGUGGAUUCUCCACGGCAACGUAACUGAACGCGGAGACAUCGGCGGGGGUCCUGGGAAGAGUUCUCUUUUCUUCUUGACAGCCUAUCACCCUGAAAUCGGUUUGUCCGGAGCUAGGGUUCCACGGCUGGCAGAGCCCUGCACCUUUGCAGGGUCCGGUGCGCCCCCGACGAUCCUUGAAAAUCCGCGGGAAGGAAUAGUUUUCACGCCAGGUCGUACUCAUAACCGCAGCAGGUCUCCAAGGUGAACAGCCUCUAGUUGAUAGAACAAUGUAGAUAAGGGAAGUCGGCAAAAUGGAUCCGUAACUUCGGGAUAAGGAUUGGCUCUAAGGG
Molecule: non-coding RNA, 769 nt
Filed under: Aspergillus carbonarius ITEM 5010
Lineage: Eukaryota; Fungi; Ascomycota; Eurotiomycetes; Eurotiales; Aspergillaceae
Description: Eukaryotic large subunit ribosomal RNA
Rfam family: Eukaryotic large subunit ribosomal RNA
Source: Rfam by way of RNAcentral